RNAcentral lists this ribosomal RNA (423 nucleotides) under Pseudo-nitzschia fraudulenta. Its description in RNAcentral is "partial Bacterial large subunit ribosomal RNA". It matches the Rfam family "Bacterial large subunit ribosomal RNA", at positions 595 to 1019 of the family's 2925-position model. Lineage: Eukaryota; Bacillariophyta; Bacillariophyceae; Bacillariales; Bacillariaceae. The record is from RNAcentral.
GACUGCGUACCUUUUGUAUAAUGGGUCAGCGACUUAUAUUUAGUAGCAAGGUUAAGUGAAUAACGGAGCCGUAGCGAAAGCGAGUGUUAACUGCGCGUUUAGUUGCUAGGUAUAGACCCGAAACCCGGUGAUCUAGCCAUGAGCAGGUUGAAGGUUGAGUAACAUCAACUGGAGGACCGAACCCACUGUCGUUGAAAAGCCAGGGGAUGACUUGUGGAUCGGAGUGAAAGGCUAAUCAAGCCCGGAGAUAGCUGGUUCUCCCCGAAAGCUAUUUAGGUAGCGCCUCGGAUGAAUUCCUUUGGGGGUAGAGCACUGUUUGGGCUAGGGGGUCAUCCCGACUUACCAACCCCAUGCAAACUCCGAAUACCAAAGAGAACUAUCCGGGAGACACACGGCGGGUGCUAACGUCCGUCGUGAAAAGGG